This 1164-nucleotide ribosomal RNA is filed under the name Salmonella enterica subsp. enterica serovar Weltevreden. RNAcentral's name for it is "partial 23S ribosomal RNA". It matches the Rfam family "Bacterial large subunit ribosomal RNA", at positions 495 to 1547 of the family's 2925-position model. The record is from RNAcentral. Lineage: Bacteria; Pseudomonadati; Pseudomonadota; Gammaproteobacteria; Enterobacterales; Enterobacteriaceae.
CCAGUACCGUGAGGGAAAGGCGAAAAGAACCCCGGCGAGGGGAGUGAAAAAGAACCUGAAACCGUGUACGUACAAGCAGUGGGAGCCCCACCACCAAAGCGUUUCGCUUUGUGUGGUGCACAAAGAAGCGUAACGACAGCACUGAAUGACGGUUAACGGAGCGCAAGCGACGUUCAACAUACAAAGUCAAGCAGUGGAGCGCUUUGGGGUGGGGUGACUGCGUACCUUUUGUAUAAUGGGUCAGCGACUUAUAUUCUGUAGCAAGGUUAACCGAAUAGGGGAGCCGGAGGGAAACCGAGUCUUAACCGGGCGUUAAGUUGCAGGGUAUAGACCCGAAACCCGGUGAUCUAGCCAUGGGCAGGUUGAAGGUUGGGUAACACUAACUGGAGGACCGAACCGACUAAUGUUGAAAAAUUAGCGGAUGACCUGUGGCUGGGGGUGAAAGGCCAAUCAAACCGGGAGAUAGCUGGUUCUCCCCGAAAGCUAUUUAGGUAGCGCCUCGUGAAUUCAUCUCCGGGGGUAGAGCACUGUUUCGGCUAGGGGGCCAUCCCGGCUUACCAACCCGAUGCAAACUGCGAAUACCGGAGAAUGUUAUCACGGGAGACACACGGCGGGUGCUAACGUCCGUCGUGAAGAGGGAAACAACCCAGACCGCCAGCUAAGGUCCCAAAGUCAUGGUUAAGUGGGAAACGAUGUGGGAAGGCCCAGACAGCCAGGAUGUUGGCUUAGAAGCAGCCAUCAUUUAAAGAAAGCGUAAUAGCUCACUGGUCGAGUCGGCCUGCGCGGAAGAUGUAACGGGGCUAAACCAUGCACCGAAGCUGCGGCAGCGACGCUUAUGCGUUGUUGGGUAGGGGAGCGUUCUGUAAGCCUGUGAAGGUGGCCUGUGAGGGUUGCUGGAGGUAUCAGAAGUGCGAAUGCUGACAUAAGUAACGAUAAAGCGGGUGAAAAGCCCGCUCGCCGGAAGACCAAGGGUUCCUGUCCAACGUUAAUCGGGGCAGGGUGAGUCGACCCCUAAGGCGAGGCCGAAAGGCGUAGUCGAUGGGAAACGGGUUAAUAUUCCCGUACUUGGUGUUACUGCGAAGGGGGGACGGAGAAGGCUAUGUUGGCCGGGCGACGGUUGUCCCGGUUUAAGCGUGUAGGUGUGUGUUCCAGGUAAAUCCGGUU